UGCGCAGGCGGGAAAUUAAGUCAGUGGUGAAAUCCUGCAGCUUAACUGUAGAAUUGCCAUUGAAACUGAUUUUCUUGAGUACAGUUGAGGUGGGCGGAAUGUGUAAUGUAGCGGUGAAAUGCUUAGAUAUUACACAGAACACCGAUUGCGUAGGCAGCUCACUAAACUGUUACUGACGCUCAGGCACGAAAGCGUGGGGAGCGAACAGGAUUAGAUACCCUGGUAGUCC
This 229-nucleotide ribosomal RNA is filed under the name uncultured bacterium. RNAcentral describes it as "partial 16S ribosomal RNA". It matches the Rfam family "Bacterial small subunit ribosomal RNA", at positions 568 to 796 of the family's 1533-position model. The record is from RNAcentral.